RNAcentral lists this ribosomal RNA (253 nucleotides) under uncultured bacterium. RNAcentral describes it as "partial 16S ribosomal RNA". It matches the Rfam family "Bacterial small subunit ribosomal RNA", at positions 524 to 776 of the family's 1533-position model. The record is from RNAcentral.
UACGGGGGGGGCAAGCGUUGUUCGGAAUUACUGGGCGUAAAGGGCUCGUAGGUGGCCAACUAAGUCAGACGUGAAAUCCCUCGGCUUAACCGGGGAACUGCGUCUGAUACUGGAUGGCUUGAGUUUGGGAGAGGGAUGCGGAAUUCCAGGUGUAGCGGUGAAAUGCGUAGAUAUCGGAAGGAACAUCAGUGGCGAGAGCGACUUCCUGGACCAAUACUGACGCUCAUGUGCGAAAGCGUGGGGAGCAAACAGG